AACGAACGCUGGCGGCGUGCCUAACACAUGCAAGUCGAACGAGACCUUCGGGUCUAGUGGCGCACGGGUGCGUAACGCGUGGGGACCUGCCCUUAGGUUCGGAAUAACUCCCCGAAAGGGGUGCUAAUACCGGAUAGUGUCUUCGGCCCAAAGAUUUAUCGCCUUUGGUUGGGCCCGCGUUGGAUUCGCUCGUUGGUAGGGUAAAAGCCUACCAAGGCGAGGAUCCAUAGCUGGGCUGAGAGGAUGAUCAGCCACACUGGGACUGAGACACGGCCCAGACUCCUACGGGAGGCAGCAGUGGGGGAUAUUGGACAAUGGGGGAAGGCCUGAUCCAGCAAUGCCGCGUGAGUGAUGAAGGCCUUAGGGUUGUAAAGUUCUUUUACCCGGGAUGAUAAUGACAGUACCGGGAGAAUAAGCUCCGGCUAACUCCGUG
This 433-nucleotide ribosomal RNA is filed under the name uncultured bacterium. Its description in RNAcentral is "partial 16S ribosomal RNA". It matches the Rfam family "Bacterial small subunit ribosomal RNA", at positions 29 to 507 of the family's 1533-position model. The record is from RNAcentral.